This 253-nucleotide ribosomal RNA is filed under the name uncultured bacterium. Its description in RNAcentral is "partial 16S ribosomal RNA". It matches the Rfam family "Bacterial small subunit ribosomal RNA", at positions 524 to 776 of the family's 1533-position model. The record is from RNAcentral.
UACAGAGGGUGCAAGCGUUAAUCGGAAUUACUGGGCGUAAAGCGUGCGUAGACGGUUACAUAAGUCGGAUGUGAAAGCCCCGGGCUCAACCUGGGAAUUGCAUUCGAGACUGCGUAGCUAGGGUACGGUAGAGGGAAGCGGAAUUUCCGGUGUAGCGGUGAAAUGCGUAGAUAUCGGAAGGAACACCAGUGGCGAAAGCGGCUUCCUGGACCAGUACCGACGUUCAGGCACGGAAGCGUGGGGAGCAAACAGG